AGAGUUUGAUCCUGGCUCAGAAUCAACGCUGGCGGCGUGCCUCAGACAUGCAAGUCGAACGCGAAAGUUCCCUUCGGGGAACAAGUAGAGUGGCGUCCGGGUGAGUAACACGUAGGUAAUCUGCCUUUGGGUGGGGAAUAACAACCGGAAACGGUUGCUAAUACCGCAUAAUGCAGCGGCACCACAUGGUGACAGUUGUUAAAGCGGGGGAUUUUCGGACCUCGCGCCUAAAGAGGAGCCUGCGGCGGAUUAGCUAGUUGGUAAGGUAAUGGCUUACCAAGGCAACGAUCCGUAGCCGGCCUGAGAGGGCGGUCGGCCACACUGACACUGAGAUACGGGUCAGACUCCUACGGGAGGCAGCAGUCGGGAAUUUUGGGCAAUGGGCGAAAGCCUGACCCAGCAACGCCGCGUGAAGGAUGAAAUCCCUCGGGAUGUAAACUUCGCAAGAACAGGAAGAAUAAGCGAGCGCUAAUACCGUUCGCGAUGACGUACCGUUGAGUCCCAGAC
Molecule: ribosomal RNA, 507 nt
Filed under: uncultured soil bacterium
Lineage: Bacteria
Description: partial 16S ribosomal RNA
Rfam family: Bacterial small subunit ribosomal RNA
Source: RNAcentral